This 489-nucleotide ribosomal RNA is filed under the name uncultured bacterium. RNAcentral's name for it is "partial 16S ribosomal RNA". It matches the Rfam family "Bacterial small subunit ribosomal RNA", at positions 30 to 506 of the family's 1533-position model. The record is from RNAcentral.
AUUGAACGCUGGCGGCAGGCCUAACACAUGCAAGUCGAACGGUAACAGGAAGAAGCUUGCUUCUUUGCUGACGAGUGGCGGACGGGUGAGUAAUGUCUGGGAAACUGCCUGAUGGAGGGGGAUAACUACUGGAAACGGUAGCUAAUACCGCAUAACGUCGCAAGACAAAAGAGGGGGACCUUCGGGCCUCUUGCCAUCGGAUGUGCCCAGAUGGGAUUAGCUAGUAGGUGGGGUAACGGCUCACCUAGGCGACGAUCCCUAGCUGGUCUGAGAGGAUGACCAGCCACACUGGAACUGAGACACGGUCCAGACUCCUACGGGAGGCAGCAGUGGGGAAUAUUGCACAAUGGGCGCAAGCCUGAUGCAGCCAUGCCGCGUGUAUGAAGAAGGCCUUCGGGUUGUAAAGUACUUUCAGCGGGGAGGAAGGGAGUAAAGUUAAUACCUUUGCUCAUUGACGUUACCCGCAGAAGAAGCACCGGCUAACUCCGU